RNAcentral lists this long non-coding RNA (3001 nucleotides) under Triticum aestivum (bread wheat). Its description in RNAcentral is "long non-coding RNA (TAES_LNC005689)". The record is from RNAcentral. Lineage: Eukaryota; Viridiplantae; Streptophyta; Magnoliopsida; Poales; Poaceae.
UCUCCUCUCCACCCCUGCGAUGACCUAACCCAUAGCCCCUGCCCACCCCCUCCGCCGCCGGCGCCGGUGCCUCGAAGGUCAAGGGAAGACCCUCUACUCGGCCCCCAUCGCCGUCCGCGCCGCCGCCCUAUGCCGCCGCCACCACCGCCGUCCAAAUCGCCACCCCCAUAGCCGUCCAAACUGCUCUCGGCAACACCUCUCCAUCCCACGGCUGCCGAAGACAGGGAGGAGGACGAGGCUGGCUAGGCAGGGAGGCCGAGGGUGAAGUGCAGUGGGAGGCGCAUCGGUUAGUGCAGAGGGAGGUCUAUGGUCAGCUCAUUGGAAUCUCACAGGCCACCACGGGGAGAGCAAUCACGCAGGCACAUCAACCUCCCCCACCAGGUAUGUUCAAUUGAACCUUCACUAUUAGUUGAGCUAACCGUCUCCAACAGCAACGUCCCAAUCACAAAUAAUUAUUUAGGUUUCUUACUGUGUGCGUGGAUGGGGCAUCGGAAGGAUAGAUGGCAGUACUCGUGUGGAUGCAACAACUGACUGUUAGUUUGUUCAUUCAGAGACUACCACGAACCAGUUUGAUUUGUGCUAUAAUGCUCUUGCAAAUAAUCAUAGAUGUUGGUGAAAACUGCAGAUGUUGUGGUGUUCAGGAAGGAGCGCAGAUACAGCAGCUGUCCAUCUGCAACCGCGGCCACGGGUGCCUAAUCUAACGCGACCUCCUGUUUUGACAUCGUCCUUGGUAGCUGCAAGCGUGGAAACAACCUUGGCAGUGCAGCGGCAGCCAUGAGGUUGUUCCUAGACCACUCCACCUUUGAACUGUACAAUCUGCUGUGCUUUCUAGCUAUUCUAUUUAUAUGUAGCCAUAGAUUGGUACAGUUAAUUCAUAAAUAUGAUUCAAUAGGAUUUGAUAUUUUUUUCAUGUCUCAAGUUUUUAGCUCUUCCCUCCUGGUGUGCAAAUUUUUUAGAGGAAUUUGGUGUGCCAAUUAUUUUCCUGCUUACUGUAGUUAUAGUUUUUCUCACUGUUAGAGCAGAGUAAAAUUCAAACUAUGAUAUUAGUGGUGGUUAGCUGAUAACUUGAUCAUAACAGGGGGCACACUAAUCUUCUUUCUUUUCUUCUCUAACAAAGUCUUAAUAUUAUAAGAAUGUUGUUCUCUUCUUUCAUAUUUGACAAAUAAAAUUUCCCCUAAUUUCAGUUUGGAUAAGCCAAGGUUGCUUUUGGAUCUUAGUAGAAGAUAGACGUUACGGAUUUAUAGACAAACAAUAGAUGUUGAUUUAGGGGUUCCGUCUGAUACUCAUGUCUUCUCUAUUUGGGAUACAAGUUCAAGUGAUCUUUUAGGCUACUAUUAAAGGGAAAUAUGUAUGCCGUUUCGUUCAUUUCAUCUCCACCUCCCCACCUUGCAUGUGUGUUCCCCUUCCCACCGGUUUUAUUGAUUUUUUAUAACAAUAUGCCUUAGGUUAUAAACCUACAAUAUAUUAACAUUCAGCAGAUACUCAUUUUUGUCUGUAGCUACACAAUCCAACUACUCAAAGGAACAUACAGUUCUAGAAGUGAGAACUGUUGAGCUAUUAUAGUGCAGCCUUGGGAUGAUAGAUGUUCAGGCCAGCUAUGCAGACCUUAAGGUAAAUGUUUUUCCAGCUAAUUAACAUGAAAUGUCUUGUAACUUGAACUAAUAAUGAACAACUGAGGAAUGCUUCCUGAAUGAAUCCAAAAUUGUUGGAAACACCACCGUCCAGUUGGAGAGGGAGCUAUCUGGAUCUCUAUCCAACCAGGACAUGUCUGCUUACAACUUUUUGUUGAAAAAGGUUGCGAAAAAAAAUCUAAAUCUGGAGGUAGGUGAUCCCAACUCACAACUAUGGAUAGCAAAAGGAAGAUGCAGUACUUGAUGUGAAAAUUUACAGGAAUAGAUAAUCUAACUUACAAUUAAUAAGCUUAUACUAUUAUUGUUGAUGCAAUACUAAUUUUACACGUUUUUUCAGUUGUAAAUACAAUAUGAAAUAAAAAGUUAUUCACAGGACCAUGGGUGUUUGUUAGUUUGUAUAAUCACACAAAUAAAAUAAGAGUUAAUUUGUCUAUGUAUGGUUUGUAUCCUGUUAUUUGCUACAAUAUUUAGCAAGUGUGCAAGCUAUUUAUGUGAGGUUAACUACGGACCUAUAAGCGAAGGAGUUUUUCUUCUCUACACAAGUAAGGUGUAAGCCAGCGAUCUUGGUUAUAUAGUUGACUUAAAUCCUGAAGGGACGAGCCUGCAUCUUUUCUUUCUGAUUUGAAAUGUAUUCAAAAUUCUUAUGCCCUGGUGUGCUCUAAUUCUUGGUAGUAUGUUCUCACAUGAACAGUCAUUUGAACAUUCAUCUAACUUUCUGCUUAAUAAAUUUGUAGCUGAGAUGAUGUAGCCGAAGGCACACUUCGGUAUUGUUUUAUUUCAGUCUUCCCUUAUCCUUUUUGUCUAAGAGAUAUUUCCCAGCAUGUCUGUCCAAACAUAUAUUACAGUUAUUACUAAGAAGGCUAUCCUCUUUUCUAUUUCAGCUCAAAGAUGGAUCGACCUGCGCAUUGUUGGGAUCUGUUUUAAUUGAAGUACUUCCUUCUACAGAAACAACUGGUACACAAGGAGCGUGUUUCCUUCUACAGAGGUAGCUGGUGCACAUGGAUGUAGUGAAACACGGUCAGAAACACUUGAGAUAUUAGCCGCAUAUAUUGAGAUAUUUCUCCUUUUAUUCUGGGUCCUGUAUCCUAAAAUAAGUAGCCAACUCAUUUAUACAUGGUGGUCAGGGCAAUGUGUAACGUCUACCUUUGGUAUUGUAUUAUUUUGUUCAAUGCAAUUCAUCAAAAUGACAAUGCAACAACAUAUGUAAAUGUUCUUUACUACCUUCUCAUUCUGCGCUGAGAUCAAUGAAAGUUGCAGGCAUCUAUAGCUUUGAAGCUAGCUCUUUGGGCGGCUUGAGAUAGGACAGCUACAUUGUUCUUUAAUUAUAGGUUCCAUCAAUGGUAAUGAUGGUUUCCCAACAAGAAUGCUAG